AAGUCGUAACAAGGUUUCCGUAGGUGAACCUGCGGAAGGAUCAUUAAUGAGAGACAACGAAGGGGGGGAAGGGGGGCGGACGCCAUGUCUCUUGUGGGGGGGCUGUCGCUGGCGCGCCUCGCGCGCGCAUGUGCACGUCCUCGAAAGCGACAUUCCGUUCACCUCUUCUCUCUCCACACACCCACACCCCCCACCUGUGCACGACCGCGAGGCUUUGCUGCCGUCGAUCUCACGAUUGACAUGCAUCGCCUCGCCCUUUCUUUAUACACACCUUAUAAAAGUACACAUAAGAACGAUGUUUUGCGUGUGACUGUUCUCACACGAAACAAAUACAACUUUCAGCAACGGAUCUCUUGGCUCUC
This 362-nucleotide unclassified non-coding RNA is filed under the name fungal sp. Its description in RNAcentral is "partial internal transcribed spacer region". The stretch from base 1 to 46 matches the Rfam family "Eukaryotic small subunit ribosomal RNA", at positions 1786 to 1831 of the family's 1831-position model. Lineage: Eukaryota; Fungi. The record is from RNAcentral.